AUGUGUAUAACUGAACCGUCGUCCCCGCAACACCUGUCCCUAGUAUGUGCCUGUAGGUGCCCCUGGCGACGAACAGAGGAAGGAGCGGCGAUGGGUUCCUCGCAGACGGAGAUAAGCACGACGACGCUCGUGGGGCCUGUUUUUGGAUCUGAGACCUCGAGCGAUAUUCUGCGCUUGGAUUUCCAGCCAGAUCCAGACAUUUUUUGCAGCCAUACGGGCAUGCUUGAAUCCCUACGGGAGGUGACAAAGGACCACCCAGGCGGGACAUUUGCAGAUUCGUUAGAUUCUGUUGAUGUGCGUCCGGUGGAGGAGCAGAUUCAGAGGGCAGAAAACAAGUACGUUGCCCUUGAUGACGAAGUGGGAUGGGUUAGGAGAUAA
RNAcentral lists this ribosomal RNA (378 nucleotides) under Triticum aestivum (bread wheat). RNAcentral describes it as "partial small subunit ribosomal RNA". Lineage: Eukaryota; Viridiplantae; Streptophyta; Magnoliopsida; Poales; Poaceae. The record is from RNAcentral.